This 409-nucleotide ribosomal RNA is filed under the name Bacillota bacterium. RNAcentral describes it as "Firmicutes bacterium partial 16S ribosomal RNA". It matches the Rfam family "Bacterial small subunit ribosomal RNA", at positions 355 to 776 of the family's 1533-position model. Lineage: Bacteria; Bacillati; Bacillota. The record is from RNAcentral.
UGGGGAAUAUUGCACAAUGGGGGGAACCCUGAUGCAGCGACGCCGCGUGCGGGAUGACGGCCUUCGGGUUGUAAACCGCUUUCAGUAGGGAAGAAGCGAAAGUGACGGUACCUGCAGAAGAAGUACCGGCUAACUACGUGCCAGCAGCCGCGGUAAUACGUAGGGUACAAGCGUUGUCCGGAAUUAUUGGGCGUAAAGAGCUCGUAGGUGGUUGGUCACGUCUGCUGUGGAAACGAAACGCUUAACGUGGCGCGUGCAGGGGGUACGGGCGGACUAGAGUGCAGUAGGGGAGGCUGGAAUUCCUGGUGUAGCGGUGAAAUGCGCAGAUAUCAGGAGGAACACCGGUGGCGAAGGCGGGACUCUGGGCUGUAACUGACGCUGAGGAGCGAAAGCAUGGGGAGCGAACAGG